RNAcentral lists this transfer RNA (20 nucleotides) under Moraea speciosa. Its description in RNAcentral is "partial tRNA-Phe". The record is from RNAcentral. Lineage: Eukaryota; Viridiplantae; Streptophyta; Magnoliopsida; Asparagales; Iridaceae.
AAANGGUCGGGAUAGCUCAG